UCUUGGUCAUUUAGAGGAAGUAAAAGUCGUAACAAGGUUUCCGUAGGUGAACCUGCGGAAGGAUCAUUACCGAGUGCGGGCCCUCGCGGCCCAACCUCCCACCCUUGUCUCUAUACACCUGUUGCUUUGGCGGGCCCACCGGGGCCACCUGGUCGCCGGGGGACGCACGUCUCCGGGCCCGCGCCCGCCGAAGCGCUCUGUGAACCCUGAUGAAGAUGGGCUGUCUGAGUACUGUGAAAAUUGUCAAAACUUUCAACAAUGGAUCUCUUGGUUCCGGCAUCGAUGAAGAACGCAGCGAAAUGCGAUAAGUAAUGUGAAUUGCAGAAUUCCGUGAAUCAUCGAAUCUUUGAACGCACAUUGCGCCCCCUGGCAUUCCGGGGGGCAUGCCUGUCCGAGCGUCAUUUCUGCCCUCAAGCACGGCUUGUGUGUUGGGUGUGGUCCCCCCGGGGACCUGCCCGAAAGGCAGCGGCGACGUCCGUCUGGUCCUCGAGCGUAUGGGGCUCUGUCACUCGCUCGGGAAGGACCUGCGGGGGUUGGUCACCACCAUGUUUUUACCACGGUUGACCUCGGAUCAGGUAGGAGUUACCCGCUGAACUUAAGCAUAUCAAUAAGCGGAGGAA
Molecule: ribosomal RNA, 620 nt
Filed under: Penicillium sp. 4 TMS-2011
Lineage: Eukaryota; Fungi; Ascomycota; Eurotiomycetes; Eurotiales; Aspergillaceae
Description: eukaryotic LSU rRNA
Rfam family: 5.8S ribosomal RNA (bases 248-401)
Source: RNAcentral